UCAGUCGACUCCUACGGGGAGGCAGCAGUGGGGGAAUAUUGCACAAUGGGCGCAAGCCUGAUGCAGCCAUGCCGCGUGUGUGAAGAAGGCCUUCGGGUUGUAAAGCACUUUCAGUUGUGAGGAAGGUGGUGUCGUUAAUAGCGGCAUCAUUUGACGUUAGCAACAGAAGAAGCACCGGCUAACUCCGUGCCAGCAGCCGCGGUAAUACGGAGGGUGCGAGCGUUAAUCGGAAUUACUGGGCGUAAAGCGCAUGCAGGUGGUUUGUUAAGUCAGAUGUGAAAGACCCGGGGCUCAACCUCGGAACUGCAUUUGAAACUGGCAGACUAGAGUACUGUAGAGGGGGGUAGGAAUUUCAGGUGUAGCGGUGAAAUGCGUAGAGAUCUGAAGGAAUACCGGUGGCGAAGGCGGCCCCCUGGACAGAUACUGACACUCAGAUGCGAAAGCGUGGGGAGCAAACAGGAUUAGAUACCCUGGUAG
This 477-nucleotide ribosomal RNA is filed under the name uncultured bacterium. RNAcentral describes it as "bacterial SSU rRNA". It matches the Rfam family "Bacterial small subunit ribosomal RNA", at positions 328 to 793 of the family's 1533-position model. The record is from RNAcentral.